CCUACGGGUGGCAGCAGUGAGGAAUAUUGGUCAAUGGGCGGGAGCCUGAACCAGCCAAGUCGCGUGAGGGACGACGGUCCUAUGGAUUGUAAACCUCUUUUGUCGGGGAACAAAGGCGUCCACGGGUGGGCGGAUGAGUGUACCCGAAGAAAAAGCAUCGGCUAACUCCGUGCCAGCAGCCGCGGUAAUACGGAGGAUGCGAGCGUUAUCCGGAUUUAUUGGGUUUAAAGGGUGCGUAGGCGGACAGUCAAGUCAGCGGUAAAAAUGCGGUGCUCAACGCCGUACAGCCGUUGAAACUGGCAGUCUUGAGUAUCGGAGAGGCAGGCGGAAUUCCUAGUGUAGCGGUGAAAUGCGUAGAUAUUAGGAGGAACACCAGUGGCGAAGGCGGCCUGCUGGACGACAACUGAUGGUGAGGCGCGAAAGCGUGGGGAGCAAACAGGAUUAGAUACCCGAGUAGUC
RNAcentral lists this ribosomal RNA (459 nucleotides) under uncultured bacterium. RNAcentral's name for it is "partial 16S ribosomal RNA". It matches the Rfam family "Bacterial small subunit ribosomal RNA", at positions 338 to 795 of the family's 1533-position model. The record is from RNAcentral.